GUAGCAAGAGAGUUGAUACUGAGGUAGAUAGUUGAUAGUAAGACAGUUGAUAGAGAAUUGAUGGGAAGAUAGAUAGCUGUUGGUGAUAGAUGUAGUGGAUAGAUAGCAGAUAGUAAGAAGGGUCAUUGGUAGAGAGGUGGACUGUGGGUAUCAAGAUUCUUAGUGGCAAGCCAGAGUUGCUAGGGAUAUGGAUAGUUAUAGCCAGAUAGCUGAUACGGAAAUAGUGGAUGGAAAGAUAGUUGAUUGUGAGAUAGUUAAUUGAUAGCCAGUAGAUAGCAAUGUAGAAAUUUGAUAGUGAUAUAGAAAGUUGCUAAAAAAACUUUAUCUGUUUCAGAUGAGCCACCUGAGUCCUGGGACACCACUCUCCCCUCCAGUGAGUGAUGAAGAGCGACGCCUGAUGCUGCCCCAGCACCAGCAGAAGAGCAGCAGGUCUGGAAACACCUGUCCUGCCAGAAGAGCAUCCCGGAGAAGAAGACGCGCCUUCUGCUCAGAGGAAGAUGAGUCAUUGCACAUCACUUCACCCUGUUCUCCAGGAGGAAGCAGGAUCAGCGCCUGAUGCUGCCCCAGCGCCUGCUGAAGAACAGCAGCUCUUGGAAACAUGUGGCCAGCUGGAAGAUCAUCAGGGAGAAGAGAACGUGUCUUUGUGCAGAGGAAGUCUUCUCUCUUGUACUUGUCUUGUCAACUGAGAUGAUGCCCAGCUGCUGCAAGGCAGUCGAGAAGGAACCAGACUGAAGAGGAGAGCCCCAGAUGACUCUGCCUGUCUGAACUUAUGUGCAUAGAGAGAGACUGACCCAGCAAAAAAUAGAGUAGAUAGCGCAGGGAACCAGUUAAUGCCAAAAUGCUUAAGUGCAGUACAGUGCAAUUGUCAAAGAGCUCUGUAAAUAAAUUGUUUGACUUUGUACCUCUCCUUAUCUUGUGUUGUUCAGAACUGUGGGGGUUCGUAGUCUGAUACUU
This is a long non-coding RNA of Numida meleagris (helmeted guineafowl), 954 nucleotides long. RefSeq lists it as uncharacterized. NCBI's taxonomy places the organism in Eukaryota, Metazoa, Chordata, Aves, Galliformes, Numididae. The transcript is spliced from 3 exons. The record is from RefSeq and is a predicted model, not a curated record.